AUUGAACGCUAGCGGGAUGCCUUACACAUGCAAGUCGAACGGAGUGGCGAACGGGUGAGUAAUGUAUCGGAACGUGACCAGUAGCGGGGGAUAACUACGCGAAAGCGUAGCUAAUACCGCAUACUAUUGGAGCGGCCGAUAUUGGAUUAGCUAGUUGGUGGGGUAACGGCUCACCAAGGCGACGAUCCGUAGCUGGUUUGAGAGGACGACCAGCCACACUGGGAAUGGGCCACGGCCCAGACUCCUAAGGGAGGCAGCAGUGGGGAAUGUUGGACAAGGGGGGAAACCCUGAUCCAGCCAUGCCGCGUGUGCGAUGAAGGCCUUCGGGUUGUAAAGUACUUUCAGCGAGGAGGCGUUACUCGCAGAAGAAGCACCGGCUAACUCCGUGCCAGCAGCCGCGGUAAUAC
Molecule: ribosomal RNA, 407 nt
Filed under: uncultured bacterium
Lineage: Bacteria
Description: partial 16S ribosomal RNA
Rfam family: Bacterial small subunit ribosomal RNA
Source: RNAcentral